This 450-nucleotide ribosomal RNA is filed under the name uncultured bacterium. RNAcentral describes it as "bacterial SSU rRNA". It matches the Rfam family "Bacterial small subunit ribosomal RNA", at positions 29 to 524 of the family's 1533-position model. The record is from RNAcentral.
AACGAACGCUGGCGGCAUGCCUAACACAUGCAAGUCGAACGAGACCUUCGGGUCUAGUGGCGCACGGGUGCGUAACGCGUGGGAAUCUACCCUUGGGUUCGGAAUAACUCAGAGAAAUUUGAGCUAAUACCGGAUGAUGUCGCAAGACCAAAGAUUUAUCGCCCAAGGAUGAGCCCGCGUAGGAUUAGCUUGUUGGUGAGGUAAAAGCUCACCAAGGCGACGAUCCUUAGCUGGUCUGAGAGGAUGAUCAGCCACACUGGGACUGAGACACGGCCCAGACUCCUACGGGAGGCAGCAGUGGGGAAUAUUGGACAAUGGGGGCAACCCUGAUCCAGCAAUGCCGCGUGAGUGAUGAAGGCCUUAGGGUUGUAAAGCUUUUUUACCAGGGACGAUGAUGACGGUACCUGGAGAAUAAGCCCCGGCUAACUUCGUGCCAGCAGCCGCGGUAAU